Long non-coding RNA from Armigeres subalbatus, 1161 nucleotides. RefSeq lists it as uncharacterized. NCBI's taxonomy places the organism in Eukaryota, Metazoa, Arthropoda, Insecta, Diptera, Culicidae. The transcript has 3 exons. The record is from RefSeq and is a predicted model, not a curated record.
GCUGCCAUUUCUAAUAUGCUUUUUAGGAUAAAAGCUUAGAACUAAAGUAGAUUAAAUAUUAAUGAGUCCUGAGAGAAAUUAUUUAGCUUCAAAGUAAUACUAUAAAACUCGUCUAAAAAUAAUAUGAAUGUAUUAGUAAAUUUCAAUUAUUCUAAAGCUAUGACUACGCAAAUUUGAGGAACUAAUAUGUGCUUCUGAAACUGCUCUGCCAUUUCUAUUUUAACUUGGCUGAAGAGUAGAAGCCAGUUUCAGUGCGAUAGCUAUUUUUUAAAAAGUUUCUCUAAGUUCGAGUACGUUUAAUUUCGCACGAGGCGAACGCUCUACUCUCGAGCAAUUUAUUUUAGUACUUAAAGCGUCCGAACGACGCUUUUUGUACGGGUUUUUCUUUUCCCGUUCCCGCUGGACACGUCUCGUCCACGCGGUGUGAACCCGGCCGUGCGGGCCCGCCAUUACGGUAGCCAAACGAGGAUUGAGGCAUUCCGACCUACCGAGAUUCUCCAAAGGAAAGUUUCCCCCAGUCCCGGUGGUUGUGUAGUCCCACAGACGAAGGCCAGUUGGAGACCCGUGACGCUUCCUGAGGAGAGGAGACGGCAGAGUAUCGGACCAUCAGCCACCGCCCUUUCUCGCAACUAUAGAUCGGCCAACUACGCACGUGUGCCCAUUCCGGCGAUGCAUCUGCCGAAGAGCUCGAGUGUUCCGUCGCAUCAUUGAUCGGACACCCCCUGUAGCUGGCACCGUCGUUAUCAUCGCUCGAUGACGACACAGCCCUGUCGGUAUACCAGCCGCCAGCAUAAACCCUGAUCAGGUAUGUCGCAAAUCAUGGCCAUGUAACACACACAACAACACUCACACUCUCACUACACACUAAAAUGAAUCUUGAAAAAAACAUAAUACAUAAAUGAAUUCAAUAUAAAUUUCUCUUGCGUUCAUUCAUUUAUCUCGCUAAGCCCUGUGGUUUAUUAGUCUGCCCGGGAAUGUGCUGAGUUUUCGUUUCAUGCGCUACAGAUAGAGUACGUUUUUGCCUACGUUCACUUUACUGCUUCGGUGCGUUCACCUCAGGAAACUUCACCUCUGAAUUUUCGUGGUCUAGCUUUGGAACCGUUCUAAAACCCCUUGUAGAUUGCGCUCAUGCUUCCUAAAGCUAAGUCGGGCAACUUAUUA